Molecule: long non-coding RNA, 575 nt
Filed under: Ananas comosus (pineapple)
Lineage: Eukaryota; Viridiplantae; Streptophyta; Magnoliopsida; Poales; Bromeliaceae
Description: long non-coding RNA (ACOM_LNC027512)
Source: RNAcentral
CUCUCUCUCUCCCUCCCUCUAACUUUUUCUUUUUUCUAACUUAAUUUCUCUCUCUAUCCUUUUCUCUCCUUUGGCUUUCUCUCUCUCCGUUUUAUUUAUUUAUUUUUUUUAUUUUUUACUUUAUCCUCUAGUCUUUUCUCCCUGGUACAUUCGCCCAUUCACACAUACACACACACCCCAAAAAAAUAGCUAAUAUAUAUAUAUAUUUUUUGAUAUAGAUAGCAUACUAUUCGAUUCGUUUAUUUUAUUUAAAAAUAAAUUUAGCUGAAAAUAUGAAUCAAUUAUGAUUCGAACUUGAAAUUUGGGCACCAACAACCAAGUUCUUUGCCACUUGCUCUAAAAAUGGUUGGUAACUAACAUUACAUUAGAAUGUCCGAAGACCCUAACGGGGUAAGUCUCGCAUUGAUGGCGGCAGUAAUGACCGAAGAGAAGGCCUUAAAUGCCCGCAAUAAUGUCCGAAGACCACAAAUGACACGUUAACCCUAUCCUAUUUUACACUGUAAUACCAAUUUCCUAUUCCUAUAAAUAAUAUAUCAUUUAUAUUUAUAUAACUUAUCAUAUUAAAAUUUUAAAUA